RNAcentral lists this long non-coding RNA (427 nucleotides) under Cricetulus griseus (Chinese hamster). RNAcentral describes it as "lncRNA (ENSCGRG00015036211.1)". The record is from RNAcentral. Lineage: Eukaryota; Metazoa; Chordata; Mammalia; Rodentia; Cricetidae.
AUUCAGUGUGGCUGGAUUUAUGGAGAGAUCUUUGAUCCACUUGCACUUAAGUUUCAUGCGUGGUAACAGGCUGAAUCCUGCAUGGAAGACGGUCAAUGAAAAACCAGUGCGUAGACUGCCAUCUACUGGACAACCAGAAAACAAACUGCUGAGUCGCCCUAGGACCUUGAGCAACAAAGGCAAAAAGGCAAAAUUAUGAAUACAUCAGUGGAACAGACAGGAGCAUGUAGGCACAACAAUGGUCCAGUUUGAAAUGAUUAUUUGCAAAAGAGUGUACAUUUCUACUUUCAAUGUUUGUACAGAGUCACUGGAGUUAUGACAAUAAAAUGAUUUUCAAAUUGUGAUUCCUUGAUACACCCAGGGAGCAGAGACGACUCAGAACUUCUAGUGACAUAUCAAAAACAGAUAUGAGGAAUGUUCCCUUCCC